AAAGGGUAAGCCGAAAACCUUAAAAAGAGUAGGCA
This 35-nucleotide non-coding RNA is filed under the name unclassified sequences. RNAcentral describes it as "DUF805b RNA". It matches the Rfam family "DUF805b RNA". From Rfam's summary of the family: Bacteroidetes, Chlorobi (1 example), Proteobacteria. Lineage (Flavobacteria) The record is from RNAcentral.